Molecule: ribosomal RNA, 497 nt
Filed under: uncultured bacterium
Lineage: Bacteria
Description: partial 16S ribosomal RNA
Rfam family: Bacterial small subunit ribosomal RNA
Source: RNAcentral
GAUGAACGCUGGCGGCGUGCUUAAUACAUGCAAGUCGAGCGAACAGACGAGGCGCUUGUUCCUUUGACGUUAGCGGCGGACGUGUGUGUAACACGUGUAUCAUCUACUUAUCUUUCUGGUAUCUCUUCGGGACUCCGGCGCUUAUACCGUAGAAUCUAUUGAUCCGUGUUGUUCGUUGGUGAAAUUCGGCUUUUCUGUCUCUACUCGAUGCUUCUGGGCCGCUUUAGCUAGUUGGUAAGUUAACGGCUUACCAAGGCAACGAUGCGUAGCCGACCUGAGAGGGUGAUAGGCCACACUGGAGGUGAGACGCGGACAAGGCGCCUAAGGGAGGGAGCAGUAGGGAAUCUGACGCAAUGGGCGAAAGCAUGACGGAGCAAGGCCGCGUGAGUGAUAAAAGUCUUCGGAGCGUAAAGAUCUGUUAUGAGGGAAGAACAAAUGUGUAAGUAGCUAUGGACGGCGUGACGGUAACUGAUAAGAAAGCAACGGCUAACUACGUG